AUGAUGAGAGAGGUUGCCCAGGUAUGCUUGGAUCCAUUGAUUGCAUGCAUUGUACUCGGAAGACUUGUCAUGUUGCAUGUCAAUGUCAGUAUCGAGGGCAUUGCCUCGAUCCAACCAUCAUUCUUGAGGCAGUUGCAUCACACGAUCUUUGGAUUUGGUAUGCAUACAUUGGUAUGCUUGGCUCUCACAAUGAUCUCAAUGUCCUUCAUCGAUCUUCUCUUUUUGAAAGGCUUAUUGAUGGUGGCAGCCAACUUGCAACUAUGUUGUCGAUCUCACAAUGUGUACAACAUGGGUUACUACCUUGCCGAUGAUAUCCAUCCUCCAUGGGCCACAAUUGUGAAUACUAUCCACAAACCAAAAGGUAACAAGAGAUCUUACUUUGCAACUUGUCAAGAAUCUGCUAGAAAGGAUGUUGAGAGAUCAUUCAGUGUGCUUCAACGAUGA
Molecule: ribosomal RNA, 444 nt
Filed under: Triticum aestivum (bread wheat)
Lineage: Eukaryota; Viridiplantae; Streptophyta; Magnoliopsida; Poales; Poaceae
Description: partial small subunit ribosomal RNA
Source: RNAcentral